This 303-nucleotide ribosomal RNA is filed under the name uncultured bacterium. RNAcentral describes it as "partial 16S ribosomal RNA". It matches the Rfam family "Bacterial small subunit ribosomal RNA", at positions 507 to 807 of the family's 1533-position model. The record is from RNAcentral.
AGCAGUAGCCGCGGUAAUCCGAAGGGUGCAAGCGUUAAUCGGAAUUACUGGGCGUAAAGCGUGCGUAGGCGGUGAGUUAAGUCUGCUGUGAAAUCCCCGGGCUCAACCUGGGAAUGGCAGUGGAUACUGGCUCGCUAGAGUGUGUCAGAGGAUGGUGGAAUUCCCGGUGGAGCGGUGAAAUGCGUUGAGAUCGGAAAGAACACCAACGGCGAAAGCACUCUGCUGGGCCGACACUGACACUGAGAGACGAAAGCUAGGGGAGCAAAUGGGAUUAGAUACCCCGGUAGUCCCUGUCUCUUAUAC